GGCUAGAGUUUGAUCAUGGCUCAGGAUGAACGCUGGCGGCGUGCCUAACACAUGCAAGUUGAGCGAUUUACUUCGGUAAAGAGCGGCGGACGGGUGAGUAACGCGUGGGUAACCUGCCCUGUACACACGGAUAACAUACCGAAAGGUAUGCUAAUACGAGAUGAUAUGCUUUUAUCGCAUGGUAGAAGUAUCAAAGCUUUUGCGGUACAGGAUGGACCCGCGUCUGAUUAGCUAGUUGGUAAGGUAACGGCUUACCAAGGCGACGAUCAGUAGCCGACCUGAGAGGGUGAUCGGCCACAUUGGAACUGAGACACGGUCCAAACUCCUACGGGAGGCAGCAGUGGGGAAUAUUGCACAAUGGGCGAAAGCCUGAUGCAGCAACGCCGCGUGAGCGAUGAAGGCCUUCGGGUCGUAAAGCUCUGUCCUCAAGGAAGAUAAUGACGGUACUUGAGGAGGAAGCCCCGGCUAACUACGUGCCAGCAGCCGCGGUAAUACGUAGGGGGCUAGCGUUAUCCGGAAUUACUGGGCGUAAAGGGUGCGUAGGUGGUUUCUUAAGUCAGAGGUGAAAGGCUACGGCUCAACCGUAGUAAGCCUUUGAAACUGGGAAACUUGAGUGCAGGAGAGGAGAGUG
RNAcentral lists this ribosomal RNA (631 nucleotides) under uncultured bacterium. RNAcentral's name for it is "bacterial SSU rRNA". It matches the Rfam family "Bacterial small subunit ribosomal RNA", at positions 1 to 663 of the family's 1533-position model. The record is from RNAcentral.